AGUGAACGCUGGCGGUAGGCCUAACACAUGCAAGUCGAACGGCAGCACAGUAAGAGCUUGCUCUUACGGGUGGCGAGUGGCGGACGGGUGAGGAAUACAUCGGAAUCUACUUUUUCGUGGGGGAUAACGUAGGGAAACUUACGCUAAUACCGCAUACGACCUACGGGUGAAAGCAGAGGAUCUUCGGACCUUGCGCGAUUGAAUGAGCCGAUGUCGGAUUAGCUAGUUGGCGGGGUAAAGGCCCACCAAGGCGACGAUCCGUAGCUGGUCUGAGAGGAUGAUCAGCCACACUGGAACUGAGACACGGUCCAGACUCCUACGGGAGGCAGCAGUGGGGAAUAUUGGACAAUGGGCGCAAGCCUGAUCCAGCCAUACCGCGUGGGUGAAGAAGGCCUUCGGGUUGUAAAGCCCUUUUGUUGGGAAAGAAAAGCAGCAGGUUAAUACCGCGCUGUUCUGACGGUACCCAAAGAAUAAGCACCGGCUAACUUCGUG
Molecule: ribosomal RNA, 492 nt
Filed under: uncultured bacterium
Lineage: Bacteria
Description: partial 16S ribosomal RNA
Rfam family: Bacterial small subunit ribosomal RNA
Source: RNAcentral